AUUGAACGCUGGCGGCGUGCCUAACACAUGCAAGUCGAGCGGCAGCGCGGGAGCAAUCCUGGCGGCGAGCGGCGGACGGGUGAGUAACGCUUGGGAAUCUGCCUGUUAGUGGGGGACAACCCGGGGAAACUCGGGCUAAUACCGCAUACGCACUACGGUGGAAAGCCGGGGACCGCAAGGCCUGGCGCUAACAGAUGAGCCCAAGUCGGAUUAGCUAGUUGGUAGGGUAACGGCCUACCAAGGCGACGAUCCGUAACUGGUCUGAGAGGACGACCAGUCACACCGGAACUGAGACACGGUCCGGACUCCUACGGGAGGCAGCAGUGGGGAAUAUUGGACAAUGGGGAAACCCUGAUCCAGCGACGCCGCGUGGGUGAAGAAGCCUGCGGGUUGUAAAGCCCUUUCAGUGGGGAAGAAAAGCCUCGACCUAACACGUCGGGGUCUUGACGUAACCCCAUAGAAGAAGCACCGGCUAACUCUGUGACAGCAGCCGCGGU
Molecule: ribosomal RNA, 497 nt
Filed under: uncultured bacterium
Lineage: Bacteria
Description: bacterial SSU rRNA
Rfam family: Bacterial small subunit ribosomal RNA
Source: RNAcentral